RNAcentral lists this ribosomal RNA (304 nucleotides) under uncultured Comamonadaceae bacterium. RNAcentral describes it as "bacterial SSU rRNA". It matches the Rfam family "Bacterial small subunit ribosomal RNA", at positions 1 to 311 of the family's 1533-position model. Lineage: Bacteria; Pseudomonadati; Pseudomonadota; Betaproteobacteria; Burkholderiales; Comamonadaceae. The record is from RNAcentral.
CUCGGAGUUUGAUCCUGGCUCAGAUUGAACGCUGGCGGAAUGCUUUACACAUGCAAAGUCGAACGGUAGAGGGGGCAACCCCGUUGAGAGUGGCGAACGGGUUGAGUAAUAUAUCGGAACGUGCCCAGUCGUGGGGGAUAACGUAGUGAAAAUUACGCGUAAUACCGCAUACGAUCUAAGGAUGAAAGCGGGGAUCGCGAAGACCUCGCGCGAUUGGAGCGGCCGAUAUCAGAUUAGGUAGUUGGUAGGUAAAGGCCUACCGAAGCCAACGAUCUGUAGCUGGUCUGAGAGGACGACCAGCCAC